AGCGGGGAGCAAGGCCUGCGGGGAGGCGCAGGAUGGACGCGUUGGCUGUCAUGAUGUAGGACCUCCUGACCUAGAACCAUGCCCGGCGCAGGGAGAACAACGAGCUUACGGACCGGGUGCGGGGGCUGCUGUGCGAGAAAGCCUACCUGCUGGCCCGGGAGCGUUCGCCGGCCCACCUGGUGGCUUUCCCUGGACGUUUAACGGCGACUCCGCCCGGCCUCCCGACUUUUUGAUGCAGGCGUUCUCUUACAUGACUUUCUUCGAGGCUAGAUUCUCGAAAGACAUCCUGAAGGUGGCUUUCUUAAUUAGCUGCCUCACCGGCUGGCGGAGCAGUUCGUAGUCGCCUACAUCGAGAGGGAGAGCCCCGUCCUGGCUCAGUACUGGGGCUUCGUGGACGCGCUGUAGCGGGUCUUCGCCGUCGUGGGUAGGAAACAGUCGGGCCGGAUCCCCGGUGUCUGGGGAGCGGCUGCCGGCCGGGCCCGCGCGAGCCGCUUCACUCCUACAAGCCCGGCUCACUAGUUCCAAGCUGCUGGACUUUGACCCUCGCUGGGAAGCUUGAUCGCCGCCUGUUCUCGCCAAUCUCUAUGCCUUUGCACUGCCCAGCAACCCGGUCACUGCCCAGGACCUGUUAAAAGUUGAAUGGACCUCCCAGAAUCACGCCGCUGCCACCGCCGUUUCUAGAGACGGCUUUUGGCCACCUUUGAGAAUCAGGGUCAAACUUGGAAGGGCCUGCAUUUGUCACACUUCCUCGGACACUAAUUUGGAUAGUUCAGGCCCAGAGACGGCUUCCCGGGUUAGUGUGCCUGACAACACUGAAGAAAAAUUGUGACAUUUUCCUUCCCCAGAAUUACUUCGUUUUAUACAUUUCACUUCUCUUCUGAAAUCACAGCAAUGCCAGUUUGCGCCUUUUGGUCUGAGGAACGCAGGCCCUGGCCACUACCAGGAAAAAGUAUUUACUUUUAAAACUUGAAUGUAUAUCUUUACCGUAUGCCUAGUACAGUAGUGCUUGGAAGAAACAGAUUAGUAAGACAAAAUAUAUGUCUUCAAGAACACUUACGUUCUGAGAAAGAAUUCUGAAUGCAGAUUCUAAUGUCUGAUCCUUUGCACAUGGCCUGCUAUCAACAAUCCUCUACAAUGAUUCUCAGCAUCACCUAGGGAGCUUAUGUAAAAUCUCAAAUUCCUGGGCCCUAUCCCCAGAGUUUCUUAUCAAGUAAGUCUGCAUUGGGAUCUGAGGAUUUGCAUCUCUAACAAAAAUUCCUAGGCGAUGCUCACACUGUUGGUGUAAGGUUUCCUUGAUGGAGAACUAUCAAAGCAGUCAAAGCUAUCAAAAUAAAAAAGAAUUCUGAUUGGGUGCAGUGGCUCACACCUGUCAUUCCAGCACUUUGAGAGGCCAAGGUGGGCAGAUCACAUGAGGCCAGGAGUUCAAGACCAGCCUGGCCAACAUGGCAGAAACCCCAUCUCUACUAAAAAUACCAAAAUUAGCCGGGCAUGGUGGAACACACCUGCAAUCCCAGCUACUCGGGAGGCUGAGGCAAGAGAAUCGCUUGAACCUGGGAGGCAGAAGUUGCAGUGAAACAAGUUGGUGCCAAUGCAUUCCAGCCUGGAUGAUGGAGCGAGACUCUGUCUCAAGAAAAAAAAAACAAAAACAAAAACAGAACUCUGCCUCAUAGCGUCUUUUAAGUUAUACACUGGACCUAUCCUUUCCUCACUGACAGACAUUUUAAAAAUUUUUUGGUAAGGCCUAGUUCAUAUAAAAUGUAAUCCAAGCCAAAAGUUAACAAGAAUAAGGGGAGGAAAGGGGACUCCAAUAGCAGAGAAAGGUAUUUACCUGGGAUAUACACUGCAAGAAAAUCAAAGCUAUAAGAAACGUCCAUGAAUAGUAGCCAUAAGGCAUCAGAGUGAUAAAAUUCCUGUCCCUAGGAGGGAAUAUUGGAGUUUGCCAGAGAAACAGAAUGAGAGAGACAGAGAGGUUUAUUGUAGGAAUUGGCUCAUAUGAUUACGGAGGCUGAGAAGACCCACGAUCUGCCAUCUGCAAGCUGGAGAAUCAGGAAAGCUGGAGGUGUAAUUCAGUCAAGUCCAAUGGCCAGAGAAGCAAGUGUACUGAUAUCCAAGAGCAGGAGAAAAUAGAUGUCCCAGAACAAGCAGAGAGGCUGAUUUUGUCCUUCCUCUGCCUUUUUGUUUCAUAUGGGGCACUGAAUGGACUGAUGCCCAUCCACAUUAGUGAGGGUGGAUCUUCUUUACUCAGUCUACCAGUAGAAAUGUCAAUGACUUCCAGAAACACCCUCACCAACACACGUGGAAAUAAUGUUUUACCAGGUAUCUGGGCAUCCCUUGGUUCACUCAAGUUGACACAAAAUUAACCAUCACAGAAGGAGACUGGCCUUACUCUGAAAUUAGGAAACUAAAGAAGUGACCAGAAUGGAGACUAGGUAGAGACAACUAGUUCUCUACCAAACAUGUACAGUUAUUCGUUGGUAUCUGAAGGGGAUUGGUUCCAGGAACUCUCAGGGAUACCAAAAUCUGCAGGUGCUCAAGUCAUUUAUAUAAAAUAUUACAGUAUUUGCAUAUAACCUUUGCACAUCUUCCAUAUACUUUAAAUCAUCUCUACAUUACUUAUAAUAAUGAAUGUGUAAAUGCUAUGAAAAUAGUUACUACACUAUUGUUUAUUUGUAUUUUUAUUGAAUUGUUUUGGGGUGGGGGGCAGCUGUAUCUUUCUUAGUAAUAGAACCCCUGGUUUUAGCUGGGCACAUGACUGCCCUCAAUAAAGAUUAAAGUACCCCAGCCUUCCUUGAGAUUGUGGCCAUGUGACUGAACUUUAGACAGUGAGAUAUAAGCAGAUAUCUUCUGUGGCAGUGUUAGGAAACUAUUAAAGACAGUAAGAACAUUGCCCUUUGCCUUCUUUUUCCUUUCUUCAUUUUUCUGCCUGGAAUGCAAAUGUGAUGGCUAACACCCUAGCAGCCAUUUUAGAUUAUGAAGAUGAGAGUCACUCCCCAGGAAGGGUGGACCUGAAAGCUGGAUUCUAGAUGUGGAAUGACAAUACCAGCCCUGGACUACCUACCUGUAGGCUGUGUGUGUGUGUGUGUGAUUGACAGAGAGAGAGAGAGAUAGAUACCACAAGUAACACAAAGCAUCAUACCUGGGACUGGGAAGGUUAAUGUUUAAACAUUUUAAAUGUGGCAUUGGUUUGUUGAAGACAGUCAAGCAGUAGGUGCUGCAGGCUUUGUUGAGGCUAGAAAGCUGUUGGUCUUUAUUAGGUGAUGGCAAAACAAUGGAUCACAUUUUCAUGUGCUGUGUCUUGGGAGGCAAAUGAUGAGAAUGUAGGAUUGGGGAAAAUGGUAAGGAAAAUCCAAAAUGUUCAUGUUUUCUAACCCCUUCUUGCCAAUCUUAAAAGAAGGACAAACAGGCUAGAUUAAGCAAGUCUACAGUUACAAUUGGAAGGAAACACAGCCGUACUAAGGAAGUACUCUGUCUGUGGCCUGCAGUCUAGUUUGACUAGGUCCUGUAUUUGAGCUUUGAAAGAGUAAAGAAUACAAGUGCUCGUAUACCCCUGAAGUAGUUACCAGCAGUGACUGCAAGGAGGUAAUCUUAUGGGAUGAAACUAUAACUCUGUAUUAACCAUCAUAUAUAGCAUAUAUGUGUAUAUGUAUGUGUGUGUGUGUAUAUGUGUAUAUAAAUAUAUGUGUGUGUAUAUACACACAUGUACACACCCUACAACCCAGUGAUUUCAAAAAAUUAAACAUUUGUUUAGCUCAUGAAUCUGUGGGUUGGGUGAACAUUUCUAUUGGUCUUGGCUGGGCUCACCUGUACCCAGUCAGCUGCAGGGUCUAGCUCUUCUUAUCUUGGCUGGGAUCUCACACAUGUCUAGGAUCAGCUGCUUUACUAGUCUAGGAUUGUCUUGGCUGAGACAGGUGGACUACUCAGUUCUCCUCCACUGCCUUAUCCUUCAGCUGGCCAGCCCAGAAAUGUUGCCAUGUUUACAGCAUAAGAGCAAGCAAGAAAGAAUAAUAUGCAACCACUUUUCCAAGCCUAAGGUGAAAGGGCGGGCAGAACCUGUGGUGUUAGGAGGCAACUCAUACCAGCCCAUGGGUCUACCGUUUAAUUUUCAGAAAUUUGGCAAGCUGAUUGUUAACACAGCUGUUGUUUAAUUUAUGUACUUGUAAUUAAAUAAUUUACAUUAAAACAAAGAUAAUAGGUACUCAAA
RNAcentral lists this long non-coding RNA (4201 nucleotides) under Homo sapiens (human). RNAcentral describes it as "HSALNT0392695". The record is from RNAcentral. Lineage: Eukaryota; Metazoa; Chordata; Mammalia; Primates; Hominidae.